This 433-nucleotide ribosomal RNA is filed under the name uncultured bacterium. RNAcentral's name for it is "partial 16S ribosomal RNA". It matches the Rfam family "Bacterial small subunit ribosomal RNA", at positions 29 to 507 of the family's 1533-position model. The record is from RNAcentral.
AACGAACGCUGGCGGCAUGCCUAACACAUGCAAGUCGAACGAGACCUUCGGGUCUAGUGGCGCACGUGUGCGUAACGCGUGGGAACCUGCCCUUAGGUUCGGAAUAACUCCCCGAAAGGGGUGCUAAUACCGGUUAAUCUCUUCGGACCAAAGAUUUCUCGCCUUUGGAUGGGCCCUCGUUGGAUUCGCUGGUUGGUAGGGUAAAAGCCUACCAAGGCGACGUUGCUUAGCUGGUCUGAGAGGAUGAUCAGCCACACUGGGACUGAGACACGGCCCAGACUCCUACGCAAGGGUGCGGAAGGGAAUAUUGGACGAUGGGCGAUGGCCUGAUACAGCAAUGCCGCGUGAGUGAUGAAGGCCUUAGGGUUGUAAAGCUCUUUUACCCGGGAUGAUAAUGACGGUACCGGGAGAAUAAGCACCGGCUAACUCCGUG